CCUACGGGAGGCAGCAGUGAGGAAUAUUGGUCAAUGGACGCGAGCCUGAACCAGCCAAGUAGCGUGAAGGAUGACUGCCCUACGGGUUGUAAACUUCUUUUAUAAAGGAAUAAAGUGAGGCACGUGUGCCUUUUUGUAUGUACUUUAUGAAUAAGGAUCGGCUAACUCCGUGCCAGCAGCCGCGGUAAUACGGAGGAUCCGAGCGUUAUCCGGAUUUAUUGGGUUUAAAGGGAGCGUAGAUGGAUUGUUAAGUCAGUUGUGAAAGUUUGCGGCUCAACCGUAAAAUUGCAAUUGAUACUGGCGAUCUUGAGUACAGUUGAGGUAGACGGAAUU
This 333-nucleotide ribosomal RNA is filed under the name uncultured bacterium. RNAcentral describes it as "partial 16S ribosomal RNA". It matches the Rfam family "Bacterial small subunit ribosomal RNA", at positions 338 to 668 of the family's 1533-position model. The record is from RNAcentral.